Molecule: long non-coding RNA, 21027 nt
Filed under: Populus tremula
Lineage: Eukaryota; Viridiplantae; Streptophyta; Magnoliopsida; Malpighiales; Salicaceae
Description: long non-coding RNA (PTRE_LNC002423)
Rfam family: tRNA (bases 15300-15371)
Source: RNAcentral
UGGUCUGCCGAAACUCACAAGAUUCUGCACCACUAACUUGCUUGAAUGCCACUCCCUGAAAGUGCUGACGUUACUGAAAUGCCCUGAACUGAAGGAAUUUAUUUCCAACCCAUCAAGUGCGGAUGUCCCUGCCAUGAGCAAACCUGACGACACAAAAUCAGCUCUCUUCGAUGACAAGGUGAUUUUAUUUCAAAAGCAUGCUUAAUUUGUGAUAUUUUGUUUCUAUGUUUUACCCCAAAGGUGAUAUUUUGUUAUGGGCGUUGGCAAUCUAUUAACAGAAUGGAAUUGUUACUGCAGGUUGCAUUCCCUGACUUGGAGCUAUUUCGAAUUGUCGAAAUGGAUAAUUUGAAGGUGAUAUGGCACAGUGAACUCCAUUCUAAUUCCUUUUGCAAACUGAAGACACUGCGUGUUUGGAGUGUAAAGAAUUUACUGAAUAUUUUCCCUUCCAGUAUGCUGAGAAGAUUCCUUAAUCUAGAGAAUCUGACUAUAACUCGUUGUGAUUCAGUAGAAGAGAUUUUUGAUCUCCAAGCGCUCAUAAAUGUGGAACAAAGACUUGCUGUUACAGCCACUCAAUUGAGAGUUGUGCGUCUAAGGAAUCUUCCACAGCUGAAGCAUGUUUGGAAUAGGGAUCCACAAGGAAUUCUUUCCUUUCAUAACCUAAGUACUGUGCAUGCCGAGGGAUGUCCUGGUCUAAGAAGUCUCUUCCCUGCCUCUAUAGCCCUAAACCUUCCACAACUUGAAGAGCUUGAGAUAGAUACUUGUGGAGUGGAGGAAAUUGUUGCAAAGGAUGAAGGACUAGAAGAAGGUCCUGAGUUUUUGUUUCCUAAAGUUACCGAUCUGCUGCUUCGGGAAUUACCAGAACUAAAGAGAUUCUAUCCAGGAAUACAUACAUCAGAAUGGCCGAGGUUGAAAAGGCUCUGGGUGUUUGACUGUGAGAAAAUUGAAAUAUUUCCUUCAGAAAUGAAGUGCUCUCACGAACCAAGCAGGGAGGACCACAUGGACAUCGAAGGUCAGCAACAACUUCUCUCAUUUAGGAAGGUAUGAUCCUCACCCCUAUUCCACGUACGUACACGCUCCACAUCUUUCUAAUUUUCACAUAAACUUUCAUUAGACCGUUAUUAUCACAACUAGAAUCUUACGUUCAUUACUAGCAAUGCAAAAUCAGUGUUGUAUAUUAAAGAUUAUCUCACUCACCUAUAAAAUAUAAAAGUAAAAUAAAUACUAGGUAAAAGACUCAAAAAUUCUAUUAAAAAUCAUUAGAAAUACCUAUAACAAAUAUACAAAAUAUAAUAAAUAAAUAAAAACCAAAUAAAAGAUUCCAAUGCAUAAUAGACACCAGGUUUAGUCUCCUAAUUUUAGGGAUUAAAACGAUAAUUUUUCCAAAAACAGGGACCACAAUGUAAUCUUACCAAAAUUGGAUGACCACACUAUAAUUAUCAGAAAUACAUAACCAUAUUGAAAUUUCACCAUAAUCCAUAUUAAAUUCUGUCCAGAAUCUCAAUUUACAUUUUAGGAACCAAACUAUAAUUUUUUUCAAAGUGUAGGGACUAAAUUAUAAAUCUCCAAAAUAGAGGGACUAAACUAAAAAUUACACAAUUCAAUAAUUGAACAGAGGUUCAUCAUUCUUAAUCUCAUAAGAAUACUAUUCAAAAUUACACAAUUUAAUUAUUGAACAGAGGUUCAUCAUUCUUAAUCUCAUAAGAAUACUGUUCAAAAUUCCAAAAUACAUUUCAGAGGUCAAAUUAUUAUUUUCUAAAGUUGAGGGACUAAACUCUAGUUUUCAUUAAUUAAGAACCAAAAUAAAAUUUCAUCAUCUUCAACCUUGAGACCAUUCUGACAUGAUUUUCUAGCAAAGUUUAAUAAAUUUCUUAACCCAUAACAAAUCAAUUAAAUAGAUCAAUUAACAAAUUCAACACACUGAAAAUCAAUCACUAAAUUUUAAAUUCAUAAUAAUCAUGAAACAAUCUUAUUGUUAUGAUCACUGUUAUGAUUAAUUAUGUUUCUAUUCAAGCAAGGUGAAUUUGGUUGACAUCCCAAUAUUUGGUGAAUUAAUGAAGCAUGAUGACUUCUUUUGAGGGAUACAUAUGUUGUAUGAUGUGUUCAAUCUAAAAGCCACUGCCCCUCUGCGAAAAAAGAAUUCUUAUUGAAAGAUUGACAAAGCUUUUGCAUUCAUAACAUAACAAAACUGAAGCCAGAGCUCACGUGGCACAAUUCAUUUAGUCAAGUGUUCAGUUGAUCUUUCUAUGCACAGCCUAUAAACUUGUUAAGAAAACGUCAAGUCAAGCAUGCUUUCUUUUGAUUGGUUUUCAGAUCUUCCCCAACUUGGAGAAUUUAGGUUUGGAAGGAAAGGAUGCAUCGGCAUUAUUGAAAUGUCCUCAAUACUUCUUUCACAAACUCAAAGUUCUCCAUCUGUAUCGCUUUGGUGAUGCACAUGCAACUUUUCUAUUUGAUCUCCUUCCAAGGUUCCCUAAUAUGGAAAGACUUGAUGUGAAACGUGGUACGUUCAAAGAGUUGCUCCCGUCUAGACUUGAUGGUAUGGAGGAGCAUGCAACAGUUCUUCCACCGAUACGACACUUAGGGUUGUAUUCUCUUCCUUGCCUAGAGCAUUUAUGGAAGAGCAAUUCCCAACUGGACCAAGCUCUGCAGACUCUUGAAGCUCUAAGGGUAUGGAAUUGCGGCAGUUUGAUUUAUUUAGCUCCAUCGCGUGCUUCUUUCCAAAAUCUAACAAGUUUGGAUGUGUGGAAUUGCGAAAGAUUAGUAAAAUUGGUGACAUCCACAACAGCAAAAAGUCUGGCGCAACUCACAAUAAUGAGUAUAUCGGACUGCAUUAUGGUUACCGAAAUAGUAGCAAACGAGGGAGAGGGAAUAAAAGAUGAGAUUGUCUUCAGCAAAUUAGAAAGAUUAUUGCUUAAUGAUUUACCAAGCCUAACUAGCUUUUGCUCAGAAAAACACAGCUUUGAUUUCCCAUCUCUGGUGCAAGUAACUGUCAGGCAAUGUCCUGGGAUGAAGUUUUUCUCCAACGGAGCACUGAGCACUCCCAAGCUGCGGAGAGUUAAAUUGACUGAAGGGGACAAGAAAGGAUCCUGGGUUGGAAAUCUUAACACCACAAUACAACAGUUGUCUGCACAAACGGUAAGUACCGAUCAAUCAUUCCAUUUUCUGCAAACCAUUAAUCUCAAGCUUUUACUAUGACUCACUGUUAUAUUUCUUUCCUGAUGUCGAAAAACAAGUCAAUAACACCUAUACAUUAAUUAUUUUGCGUUAAAAAAAAUAGUUAAUAUACAAUGAGACAAGUCGAAUUGACGCAUGAACACUUUAUUUUUUACAUUUAUUGACACAAAUAGUUAAAGUAUUUAAUUAAAUGCAUGCGUAAAUCUUUUGAUUUAUAAUUAGAAUUUAAAUAAAAAUAAAAACAUAUUUGAAAAGCUUGUAUAUUUUUUUUUGUUAAAAAACAUUAUCCUACCUGUGAUAAACCCUAGUCCUGAUCCAGAGGGAGAACUGCAAAUUAACACCUUGACAUUUGCAGGAAGGCUUUUCAGCACCAAUACUACUAACACUAAUAUUGGGAUGAUUUGUAAGAUCUAAAAACGAGUGAACACUUUUCUUGCAAAAGCUCAUCAUGAUAUAGUAAUUAUAUAAUAUUUUUGAGAAGUAAUUAUAUAGAAUUGUAAAUGGAUGAGCACAAAGGGAGAGAACCUCAAGGCAUGGAAGUGAGAAGUUAUAGAGAGUCUAGAGGGUAUUAAUAACAUCCUCACAACAAAGAUAGAGAGGGAGAGGGAGACUAGGCGGUAUGGUAUAGAGAGAGCCAGAGUGACAGAAGGGGGUACAAUGAUAGCUGGAUCAGUGAUAGAGGUAUCGGUUCCAAGUCCCGCGUAAGAUAUAUGGCCUAAGACUUCGUUCAGAUUUUGCCUUCUCCUCCCCCACUCUUCUUUGUUUUUUCGAUAGGGUUGCCAAUUUUGAAAGUGAUAUAUAUAUAUGGACAUGGUUGUGUUAGCUGCCCAAAAUAACGGUCGGCCUAAUCAUUUCCAAUGCAAGAGGAAACACCUCCAUCCAUAUCCCACGUUCUCAUUUAUGAAUUAAAUCUUAAAAGAAACUGUAGAAAAAAAAUAUAGUGUUAUGGCACCAAUUUGAAUACGGAUAUUUAUUAGUUGAAGUUUGAAAGGAUGGCCUUCGAUUUGAUGGGUGAAAAAUUGAGAGGAGAAUAUUCUUAUCAUCUAAAAUAAAAGAAUAUUAUCAUGGAUAUAUAUAUCACCCAAAAGAUCUAUCAACUAUGAAAUGAAUUAAUUAUGAAUUGUCGUGCUACAGGCAUCAAAUGGUUUGGGCUCACUGUUAUUAAUUCUUGCUUGGUUGAUAAUUCGGUGAUUUGUACCUGGAAUAUUUUGGUUAGGAUAUGUCUCAAAUUUAAUUUAUAAUUAAUUUGGUUAAACUUGAAUAUCGGUGAUGCUAAAAUCCAAUUUUUUUUAAUUAAAUUCAUGAUAAUUUAAAACUUUUCACAGCCUUAUCUGAUAUUUGAAUCUUUGUGGUGAAAAAAGAUCACACAUCUUCUUUGCUAUCACAACAUCCCUAAAUUAUUACCAAAACAUUUCUAAAAAAAAACGUCAUCUGUAUUUGCUUGGCUUAUCCAAACCAUGCAUGUACGUACAGACUAUCAAUGUCUCUCUUUAUCUCUGCUAUAUAACUAAUAAUGCCAAUGUCACUAUAGACCUCAGACAUUCACAGUCUUUGCCAAUAUAUAAUACACUUCCAUUGAGAUAUUUUUCUAUACAAAAAAACAUGGUUAGCUAGGAGAGAAAAAUUAGACUUCGCAGUUAGAGACUUUUUUUAUUAUUAUUGUUUUUUACUGGAUGUUUAUUCUUUAAAAAAAAAAAACAAAACAAAGACGUUCGUUAAUGUUACAAGUCCCAAUUAAUUAUAAAUAAACUAGUACGUAUUUGUCUUGAUCGACUUGUUGACAACUGUUAGUAGCUGAGAAUAUCUUGCAUUGAUCUUCCAAAUCCUUUCGUUAUGGAAGCACUGUGUAAUCCUUUAUUGCUGGAACUCUUCAAAAAAAUUUGUGAUUUUGAUGCCCAGUUCUAACAUUCAUCUUGUACCAUGUUUUUCGAGUCCCGUUUUAAAAAAUUUAAUUUUUUAUAUUUUUUUAAUACUUUUCAAUCAUUUGAAUACACAAAUAUCAAAACAGCUGUAUCUUUUGUCACCCAGUGUUUUUUUCUCUGUUGUUUGUUGAUAGAAUCACAAAAAGAAAUUUCCUUAUCUCUGAUCCAUUUAUGAGGAUGAAAUACCUUAUCUCUCAAGGAAUUAAUAUCAACCUUAUCUCUCUAGGAGUCUUCUUGACCGUCUUCAAGGCAACCAGGAAUCAACGACUGACAUGGUGUCAGAAUUCCUAGGAGUCUUCUUGAUAGAUCUCGACUCUUUAUAAAGAAACAUCAUUUCAUCAAACACAACAUGAUGUGACAUAAAAAAAAUCUCUACUCGUAGGCUUAAAGCAUUUAUGGCCUUUGUAUUUGUCCUUGUAUCCGAUAAAAACACAUGGAAUUGUCUUGGGAUCAAACUUAUUUUUUAUUACAUCAUAAUUUAAUAUAUCAACAAAUUUUAAGAGAUUAUUUUUUAUAUAAAUAAAGUUUGAAUCUAGAGUAUCUAAUAAAAUAACAACCAAAUAAAAUAUAAUAGAAAAACAUUUGAACAAGCAUAUAAUUCUCUCCUCGACAACACUAUUGUUCCUCAAAAACUCAUCAUGCUGCUAUCGCCAAUUCCAGCUUCCAAGUCAAGAUCUGGUUUGUGGUCAAGCGGUGGUUUGAGAAGAGUGUCUCUAGCCGUUUUCAGUUUGAGAAGAGACUCCCUCAUGUUAGUUCUCCGAUCAGGAGAAUCAACCGUACAGGAUAGCCCGACACCAAGGAUAGUAAUCAAGCAUUCAUGUGUUGGGCUCUUCCCUGUGAACAGCUCAGGGUCCACUACUUGUUCUAUGCUAGCAGGAAAAGCUGAUUCCACCCACUUGAUUAUGCUUGAACCUCCAGAAAAGAUUUCGUGUGUUGGGCUCUUCCCUGUGAACAGCUCCAGCAGCAUAACUCCAUAGCUGUAAACAUCUCCCCGGAGUUGAUGGCCGCAAUCCUAAACCAUAUUCUGCGAAGAACAUGUCCAGACAUCUCAAAUGCAAUAAACUAAAGGAACUGUAUAAACACAAGUGAUCUAUAGACACAAGUAAGAACAGAGGCGCAUGCAAGGAAACACACUGUUCAAACAACAAAUUUGAGAUUCCAAGAUCAAGUUAAUUUGCUAACCUGGAGGAAUGUAUCCUAUAGAGCCCCUGAGGCCACCUGUGCAAGUUAUUGGCUGUUGGUCAGCUCCUCUCUCUGCCAGCAAUUUAGGCAAACCGAAGUCUCCCACCUUUGCAGUCAUGUCUUUGUCAAAAAUCACAUUACUUGGUUUCAAAUCACAGUGCACUACUGGAAUUUCACAGUCAUGGUGCAGGUAAUCCACAGCGCAAGCAACAUCGAUUGCCACAUUUAACCUCUCCAAAAUAUUCAACAAGCCUCCAUCUAAUCGCCUUUUGCUUCCCUUGAUCCAUUCUUCCAAGCUCCCAUUACGCAUGUAAUCAUAAACCAAAGCCACAAAUUGGAAACCGUUCACAUCUGUACUUGAGCAUGAGGUGACGAGUUUAAUAAGAUUCCGAUGCCUUACGUUCUUCAAAGCCUCACAUUCAGCCAAAAAACUCUUCCAGGAUCCGUACUUCUCGAUGUCAAGCACCUUCACUGAAACAACAGUCCCAUCUCCAAGUUCACCUUUGUAGACUGACCCAAAACUGCCCUUCCCUAUCAGAUUUCCAGUGUCAAAACUCCCAGUUGCCUUGCGAAGUUCUCUAUAAGUGAUUGUGGGAUGCUGCAGCUUAAUUGAAUCUGCCCUUGGCAUAAUUUUCCCUUUUCUUUUUCUUACACACAGCAAAACUGCUAUCACUGUGCAUACUGCAACUGUGGCUAUGCUGGCAAUGACAACAUAAAUUGCAGUGGAUGUUCUUUUCUGAUGUUGAUUGUUCCAACAAGUUAAAUCCAGGCAGAGCUUCGUAUUCCCUUCCACGUGAAUUCUAGAGAGAUUUCCAAAGGCUCCAUCCUUAGGAAGAAGUCCUUCAAGGUCGUUGAAUGAGAGGUUCAACAAGUGAAGGGCCUGCAAGUUUUCAAGAUUAUUGGGUAUUAUGCCUGAUAUUUGGUUCGAAGAGAGGUCAAGGAUCUCCAAACCCUUCACGUCGCCUAGAGUAGCUGGAAUGACUCCAGAGAACAUAUUAUUUUCCAUGAAUAACUUCUCCAAACUCUUCCAGCUUCCAAUUGUAUCUGGGAUGCUUCCAGACAAAUGAUUGUGAGAAAAAUCAACAGCGGCAACAUUUUCGAGCCCCUUGAUCUCUUGAGGCAAAGAACCUGUUAGCUGGUUACUGGACAGGUUCAGAGUUGCACUCAAACUGGAGAGACCGAAAAUUUCUUUCGGUAUGCUGAUAUGGUCCCAGUCAGGAGCUAAUUUGUAAUAACAGAAUUCACACUGAUUCUCUUCGGGUGAGAACGUACCCAAGAUAAAUGUUGAUAGAAAAAUAUUGUAUAUCUCAUUUUCUUUCCCAGCCUUUUUAUAAGGCUUCGUUAGAACGGUUACAAUAUUUGAAUAACUGCAACAAUAAAACAUAAUAAAUGCUGAAUGGAAACUAAUCAAUAUUUCGGUUAUGCAGCCGAAAUAUAUAAGGAACCGUUAUAACGGUUACACUAUUUAAAUUAUUAGAACAUAAUAAAUACUGAAUGAAAACUGAAUAAAAAACUGAUGCUUAUCACUGCUUCAUAAUUAUCUGCCGUUCACGCCUUAAGUUGCUGUCAUCAAUCCUGCAUUAAGUUGCCUUUCACUGCACUUUACUAUACUUGGGGUUCGGUUUUGUUGCUCUUCCCGAUCUACGUGGUGGCUUAUCAUUACUCCCCCCAGAAAGUGGAACCUUGUCCUCAAGGUUCAAUUGAGGAAAUUGUUGACACAGAAACUCAGUCGGUUCCCACGUAGCAUCCUCUGUUGGUAAGUGUUUCCAUUGGACAAGACUUUCAGUAAUGAACUUACCACCCUGCUUCACCCAACGGUGAUCAAGCACAGCCGCAGGUUCCAAAAUAAUUGCACCGUCAUCUGAUACUGGUGGAAGAUCAGUUUGAGUGUUGGAAGCAUCCCCCACAUAUUUCUUUAAUAAGGAUAUAUGAAAAACAGGAUGAAUACGGACACCCUCAGGUAAUUGGAGUUUAUAAGCCACCUUACCCACCUUUUGGAGAAUAGGAUAAGGACCAAAAAACUUGCUGGCUAAUUUCUGAUGUGCCCGUUUAAAUGCUGAGCUUUGACGAUAAGGCUGUAAUCGGAGAAAAACCAUAUCACCUUCUGCAAAAGACAAAUCCCUCCGAUGUUUAUCUGCAGUUUGUUUCAUGCGAUUGAUGGCAGUGGCUAAAUUUUGUUUGAGCUGCAACAGAAGCUCAUCACGGUGGAGAAGUGUUUGGUCCACUUCGUGAACUGGUGUGGAACCCUCAAAAUAGUCUGGAAGAGUCGGUGGUGGACGCCCAUAAAGUGCCUGAUAUGGAGUCAUACCAGUGGAUGCAUGAAAAGUAGUAUUGUACCAUAGCUCCGCCCAAGGCAAGAAGGACUGCCAUUUACGUGGCCACUGAUGGACAAAGCUGCGUAAAUACUGUUCCAGACAUCGAUUGACUACCUCUGUUUGGCCAUCGGUUUGAGGGUGGUAUGCGGAGCUCAUUUUCAGUUUUGUGCCUGACAGUAAAAAAAAUUCUUGCCAAAAUCUGCUAAUAAAAAUGGGGUCACGGUCACUGAUGAUAGAUCUUGGCAUGCCAUGCAAUUUGACCACGCCCUCAACAAAUUUGUCGGCCACUACCUUAGCCGUGAAUGGAUGAGAUAAUGCCAUAAAGUGAGCAUAUUUACUUAGUCUAUCCACCACCACAAAAAUUGUAUCUUUACCUUGUGAAAGUGGCAGACCGGUAAUAAAAUCAAUAGUAAUAUCAUCCCAUACCUGACAUGGAAUAGACAAAGGUUGGAGUAGACCUGCCGGUGGUAAAGUUUCCGAUUUAGUUCUUUGGCAUGUGUCGCAGCUCUUCACGUACUCCUGAACUGAUUUGUGCAUGGAAGGCCAGUAGAACUGGGUGGCCACCUUUUUAAAGGUGCGUAAGAUGCCCGAAUGACCCCCUAUUUUAGUAUCAUGGGCUUCAUAAAUUAAUUUGUUGCGUAGAGUGACAUCAGAAGGAACCACAAUUCGGCCUUUAAAAAAAGAAUAAUCCAUUGCGUGCAGUAAAAGGUCCUUCGGGUUGAGUUUGAACCAGGUUGCGAAUAACAUAGUCAUCUGUAGUGGCUGCGUUUUUAAUUUCUUCCCAUAUCGCAAGCUGUGGCACGAACAAAUUGUGUAGUGUAGGACUGGCCGGUCGACGAGAAAGGGCAUCCGCAGCAGAGUUUUCACGUCCUGGCCGAUACUGAAUCUCAUAGUCAUACCCCAAUAAUUUAGCAACCCAUUUCUGCUGUUCUGGCGUAGUGAUUCGUUGUUCCAGAAGAUAUUUGAGGCUGCGCUGAUCGGUUUGAAUGAUGAAAUGUUGUCCUAGCAAGUAUGGGCGCCACAUGCGAAUGGCUUCCACCACUGCGAGCAUUUCCUUUGCAUAAGUAGACCAUUUUUGCGACACCAAGAGCUCGACUCAUAAAGGCAAUAGGCUUGCCUUGUUGUUGAGAACUGCCCCAAUUCCAUUACCUGAAGCGUCGGUUUCCACUAUGAAGGUGUCAUUAAAAUUAGGCAUGGCUAAGAUAGGCGUUGUUGUCAUGGCCUUCUUAAGUGUCUGAAAAGCUUCCUCUGCCUCCGUAUUCCAACCAAAAUGCCCCUUUUUGAGAAGAUUUGUAAGAGCCCGAGCAAUUAUACCAUAAUUCCGAACAAACUUGCGGUAAUAACCUGUCAACCCCAAAAAUCCACGCAGCUCGAAAUAUUAGCAGGUCGGGGCCAUGUCACCAUGGCUUCAAUUUUGUUGCUAUCGACCUUCACCCCUUGAUGAGAUACAAUAUGACCCAAAUAUUCAAGCUCUUGCUUACCGAAAGCACAUUUACUAGCCUUGAGAUAAAACUGUUGUUGCUUUAAAAUGUCCAAGGUUUGAGUGACAUGAUGUAAAUGCAUUUCCCAAGUAGGACUAUAAAUCAAGAUGUCAUCAAAAAAUACCAAUAUGAAUUUUCGUAAAUGGGGCCGAAAAAUUGCAUUCAUAAUAGCUUGGAAUGUAGAGGGUGCGUUACUCAAACCAAAGGGCAUAACAAGAUAUUCAUAAUGACCGUUGUGUGUACGAAAAGCAGUCUUAUGGAUAUCUGAAGGUUGCACUCGUACCUGAUGGUAGCCGGCUCGUAAAUCGAGCUUGGUGAAAUACGUUGCCCCAUGCAGUUCAUCCAACAUAUCUUCCACGGUAGGGAUUGGAAACCGAUCUUUGAUAGUGACUGCAUUAAGAGAUCGAUAAUCGGUGCAAAAGCGCCAACUACCAUCCUUUUUUUUAACUAGCAACACCGGAGAGGAGAAGGGGCUGGUGCUAGGUCUGAUGAGUCCAGAAUUCAGCAUUUCCUGGACUUGUUUUUCAAUCUCUGCCUUCUGGAAAUAAGCAUAACGAUAGGGUCGGACGUUGACUGGCUCAAUUCCUUCCUUGAGAGAAAUAGUGUGAUCAAUCUCACGUUUGGGUGGCAACUGUGUGGGUUCAUCGAAGAUCUCUGGAUAUUUAGCUAAGACCCGACACAUACUCGGUGACUGGCUCCCUUCUGUGUCCUGCAUGGUGGACUGUGGACAAAUUGCAAAUACUGAAUGGCCUUGACGCAGCUCUUUGGAAAUCUCCUUCAAGGACGCGGCUUGAAUAGGCUGAUCACAAAACCCCUGCAGCUGUCUGUCCACGUUCUUCCAAGAGAAUUUCAUGGUGAGAGUUCGCCAAUUGCAUAUAACAGACCCCAGCAUUUCCAACCAUUGUACCCCCAGAACAAUGUCCAAAUCUGCUAGAGGAAGUGAAUAAAGGGUAAGGGAAAAAGGAAUUUCCUGAAGAAGGAUCUGCACCUUUUCGAAUUUUCCUUGGCAUUGUAACCGUGCCCCAUUAGCCACCCGAACCGUAAAUGUCUCUGUUGGGACUACUGGAAGUCGUAGCCGAUCAGCCAUGCGAGUGCUUAUAAAAUUGUGGGUAGAACUACUGUCGAUUAACACCACUGCAUUGACGCACCCCACUUUGGCAUCUACACGCAUGGUUCUAGGUGCAGACCAUCCCGUUAAAGCAUGCAGAGUAAUCUCAGGUUCAUCAUUUUCCUUUGCCACCUCUUCUGCGUCAGCUUCUUCAGUGACUUCUUCAUACGUGAUUUCAUUGAAAUCGGUUGGGCCCUCCAGAAGCAAGAGUUGCAUUCCUUGGCAUUUAUGGCCGGCAGUGAACCUCUCAUUACAAUUAAAGCACAGUCCUUGGGCUCUACGUUUCUGCAUCUCUUCCCAUGGUAAUCUACGAAAGGGUGCAUUUGGUGUUGCACGUGUCGUUGUAGGUAGCGUCAGUGGCACUCGAUUUACUUGAGUUGGUCGCAGGAAUUGGCGAUGUCUUUUCAUCUAUUCGUCCUUCAUGCGGGCUAGGCUAAUAGCUUCCUUUAGUGACUGAGGCUUGAACAUACGAAUCCCUUCUGCAAUUUCCGGUUUAAGGCCUCCCAUGAACGUCCCAACCAAAGCUUUUUGGGACCAUCCACGAACUUUGUUCCCCAACUUCUCAAACUCACUCUGAUAGUCACGUAAAGAUCCCACCUGCUUUGUAUGUGAUAAAGCUUCAUCAAAAUCCUCACAGUCAGUGGGUCCGAAUCUCGCCCACAAUUCCUCUUCAAAGGCCUCCCAUGUCAUCGUUCGUCUUUCCUCCCUAUAUGUCCGACGAGCCCACUGCCACCACUGAUUUGCUUCUCCUUCCAGAUGGAAAGAAGCCAGUGAUAUCUUUUGGUUGGCUGGAGUAUUUUGAAACUCAAAGAACUGGUCCACCCGAUUAAACCAUUCUGUCGGAUCUUGUCCAGAAAAUCGUGGAAAUUCCAGCUUGGCCAUUUUAGAAGAAAAAAUUUGUCUGUUACCUUCGUUCUCCUCAUGCAUUGGACGAGAAUUUCUUUCUCGGUUUGUGUUGUUAUGGCUUGAUUCUCCCUUGUCUGAUAACAACGCCUUGCUGGAUAUCAACGCCUCUGACAGUUUAUUGAUCGUUUCUUCUAGCUGAUGCAUUUUUCCCGUCAUGCUCAUCUCCAUUCUCUGUACUCCUUCUUGUACUCCACCGAGCCCUGCCUCCAGCAUUUCAAUUCGUUCUUUGUUAGUCGUCAUUUAAACCAGCUCUGAUACCAAUUGAUAUGGUCCCAGUCAGGAGCUAAUUUGUAAUAACAGAAUUCACACUGAUUCUCUUCGGGUGAGAACGUACCCAAGAUAAAUGUUGAUAGAAAAAUAUUGUAUAUCUCAUUUUCUUUCCCAGCCUUUUUAUAAGGCUUCGUUAGAACGGUUACAAUAUUUGAAUAACUGCAACAAUAAAACAUAAUAAAUGCUGAAUGGAAAGUAAUCAAUAUUUCGGUUAUGCAGCCGAAAUAUAUAAGGAACCGUUAUAACGGUUACACUAUUUAAAUUAUUAGAACAUAAUAAAUACUGAAUGAAAACUGAAUAAAAAACUGAUGCUUAUCACUGCUUCAUAAUUAUCUGCCGUUCACGCCUUAAGUUGCUGUCAUCAAUCCUGCAUUAAGUUGCCUUUCACUGCACUUUACUUUGUGCUUGCCUUUCACUGCACUUUACUAUACUUGGGGUUCGGUUUUGUUGCUCUUCCCGAUCUACGUGGUGGCUUAUCAUAUGCUUCCGUUGAUCCUGUUGCUGGAUAGAUCCAUGGACACCAAUUGCUGGAAAUUAACAAAAGUUGUGGGCAGACUUCCUACCAAGUCGUUAGUAGAUAGAUCAAUUUCAUUCAGUUUUUGGAGCUUUCCAAGGGAGUUUGGAAUUCUGCCCGAUAUCUUAUUUGCAGCCAAAUGCAACUCUUGCAGAUUUGUAAGCUCGCCGAUUUCUGGUGGAAUUUCACCAGAAACAUAAUUAUAGCUUAUAUUUAGCAACGCCAAGCUUCUAAGAUGUCUGAUUGAGGCAGGUAUCCUUCCAUAUAUUCUAUUCCCUCCCAAGUAUAAACUUCUAAGAGAACCCGAGAGAUUUCCAAUGGAUUCCGGAAUGAGACCCUCCAGAAGAUUGCCAUCAAUGGCAAGAAAGUUAAAAUAGCUACUGUUUAUGAAAGAAGUGAGAAAAUUGAGACCCUCAUCACCAGAACUUUUUAUCUGAUUGUAGCCAAUGUUAUACAUUUGCAAUUCAGGAAGAUUUCCAAGUCCUGAUGGCACAUAUCCACUCAGAAGAUUGUGUGCCAUACGGAUGCUCUGUAUGUUUGUAAGAUUAUGCAAAGACCAUGGAAUUGAACCAGUAAAUUUGUUGAUGCAAAAAUUGAAGUUCAAAAGAUUUGGGAGUCUAUCUCCAACAUCAACUGGGAUUUCACCUCGCAGUUGGUUUGAUGCAACCGCGAGGAAAACCAAAGAAGAAAUGUUGUACAGGGAUACAGGAAUUCUGCUGCUCUGCUGAGCUGAAACAGCAGGCAUAACCUUGGCCAGUGAGGAGGUCUCAUCCCGCAAGAAAUUUGAAGUUUGCGUAAAGUUACAGUGAAGUGUAUGAAUAGCUUCGUUCCAAAGGAGGAAAUUACAUUAUCAGUUGCCUGGGGAUCCUUCUGCUCUUGUAGAGAUCUGAGCUUUAUAUGAACAACUCACACUUGACCAAAUUAUUAUUAUUAUUAUUAUUUACCUCUUCUUUCAAUUGAGUAUAAAUUUCUCUAGCAAUUGGCACUUCCGAAAGCUUUUUAAAAGACAGAAAUUACCCUUAAAGAUUCUCAUCAACUCUGUUGUGAAAAAUUCUGAGAAUUGAUAAAUCCUUUUAUCCUUUUUCUUUCUAAUUAGCCACCCUCCUGUCCUGUCUUGAUUUUUAUUUUAUAUUUUAAAACAUACAAAGAUAUCUUUUACUUUAAUUCUUUGUUUUUAGGGUUGAUAUUGUAAAAAUAUUAUUUAGUUCAUUCAUUUUAUUGCAAGUUCUAGAAUCAAGGCUAAAUGCUCAGAAUUCCACCAAUUUAUUGUAUGUAAUUCACUAUUUAUUUUAUAUUGAUAAAUUAAAAACAUACAAUAAUCUUAAGAGAAAAUUGUUGCUUAAAUUCAUGUUCAUUAAGAAAAUCAAAGAAAAAAUUAAUAUACUCAGUAAAACAGUGUUGUUAAGCUAAACACCAUCUUUAUGUUUUCGCUAUCACCGUGUUUUGUUCAGGGAUCUGAGUGAUUAAUGUUGAUUGUAUUUCUUCUAAUGUUCUUCCCUUCGUCUCUGGCAGCAACUUCCAUACGAAUAGAAUAGUUAAAGCACACAUUCCACUGAAGAUGAAGAAGGUCCCUGCAAGAAAUAUUAAUGAAAAAAUAUUGACCAAAGGAUUGUAUGAAGAUAGAUAUGGAGGGACCUUUGCUUUUAUGAAGAUAAAUGUGGAAAUGAGUAAAAAUAAUCGACUUAUUCGAGCACGAACGUGAAGGCCAUACCAUAACUUAUAAAGCAUUAAUUAUAUUUUAGUCAAUCUAGUUUAGUAAAACUAACUAAUCAGCCAUCUUAGUUUCAAAAACUAUAUAUUUAAUCCUUAUGCUCUUAAAUAAAUUUAUAACUUGAUUCUUCUCGUCCAUCUCACUUUCUUUUCCAAUUUAUUUUGAGUUUUUUUAUUUUAAGAACAAAAAAAAAAAGCAGAUAGAAUAAAAAAAAUGAUGAGCAUAGAAAACCAUUUUUUGAAUAAAAUACUACUAAAUUAGGCGUGGCUAUUUAAUAAUUUCUCAUGCUAUACUAUAAGGUCUAAUUAAUUUAUUGUGAUAAACUAUAAAGACUAAGUUGUAAUUAACUCGAAUUUAUAUUUAUAUAUAAGAAAUCUACAUAUUUAUAACCUUUUUUUUUUAACACAAAUCAAAAAUAAUUUGUGGAGUUUUUUUGUUUUCUUUUUUAAGAUUACCUUGAUUAAACUAAACUUGUUCCAUAAAUGUAAAAUAAUCUGUUUUUUUUUUCAUAGCCUAUAUCAUUUACUUAAUUUAAAUUGAUCAUGAAAAAUAUCACCUGAACCUUUAAUAAAAAUAGAUACAAAGGAUUGAAAAUUAUAAAUUCAAAUUGGUAUAAAAAUCAGGAAGCUUCCAUUUAAGCUGGGGUGGAUGGACUCUCCACCGAUCCAGGAAUUCGCGGAAAUUAUUAUAAAAUAUUAACUGUUUAAGAGUAAUCAAAAGCGGAUGGAGCUCAAAUGGUAGAGCGCUCGCUUUUCAUGCGAGAGUAUAGGGUUCGAUACCUUGCAUCUCCAUUUCUGUGUUUUUUUUUUUUUUUGCUUGAAUGGAGUAUUCAGCUAAAACAAUAUUGUGUUCUGGAAGACACUACUAUAAUUGGAGGGUUGAAGAAAUUCCAACUGCCAAGUGAAUUGGGGAAGCUGAGGACUUCAGUUUGUUUCCCUGUGAAAACAUGAACUCUUUACAGAGAAGUGAGGACAUCCGGAUUUACUACUAUAUUUUAAAAAGUAUUUUUAAAAAAAUUAAAUUUUUUUUUAUUAAUUUUAAAUUAAUAUAUUUUUAGUGUUUUUAAAUCAUUUUGAUGCAUUAAUAUCAAAAAUUAUUUUUUAAAAAAUAAAAAAACAUCAUUAAUAUAUAUUUUAGCAUGAAAAAAACAACCAUACGGACACUAACCAACUUAAAUAAGUCAGUGUUCAUACCUUCUACUUUGGGCAUUACCAGAGCUCAAGAAAUUCUAUCCAGGAAGACACCGACACAUUUGACAGAAAUUAUGUGUAUCACUGUGAAAAAUUGGAGGUAUUUGAUUCAGAACAUACAUAGGAACACAUCCUUUUCUCUUUUUUGUUUUCUCUGCUAUAAUCCAUUUCCAUCACAAGAUCUCAUUGGACGAAAUUUUAAACAACAAUUACAUAUGAUUCAAAAAGAGACCCACCUGUCUAUGCUGCAAUUAUUUUGUCUUCCAAAUACCAUUUGAAGUGAGACACUUUCUACAAUUAUUUUUAUUUAGAUUUUCUAAAUCUUGAAAAAUUUCACAUUCAGUAUAAUAAAAAAGAUAUAAUUUUUUUUUAUCUGGAUUGAAAGAGCUUUAUUAUUAAAAAAUAAUUAGCUUGCUAGCUGUUUUCAUUUUUAGAUUUAAAUUAAGCACUAUUUCAGAUUUUUUCCCACUCGUUUUAUGAAGGAAAGAUGCACUCUUUCAACUAUACAGAGAAUAAUCAUUUUCCUUUUUUCUUCUUUCAGCAUUAUAUUCCGGAGACCCCUUGAUGUUAAUUUGCUAUUCAUCUUGAUUGCUUUCUAUCUAUCUUUCUUUAUUUCUUUUGUUACUUUAUGCUUUUGAAAAGCUGUUUAAUAUUUAUGCUUUUCAUCUUGAUUGCUUUCUUUCUUUGUUUGUUACUCUAUGCUCUUGAAAAGCCUCUGCUUUGCUGCUUGUUUAUUAUUUGUGUUGUUUUUGCUUUAUUAAUAUUAGUAUUAUUUAGAUCUUUGUCUGCUAAUCAAUCCAUGCCUCUCCCUACUUAAUAUAAUCCACCAAUACCACUUUUUUCCCAGUUCUGAUCAGUCAAGAAAAAUUUCACAUUCAGUAAAAUAAAAAAGAUAUAUAUAUAUAUAUUUUUUAUCUGAUUACAAGAUUGAAAGAGCUUUAUUAUUAAAAACUAAUUAGCUUGCUAGCUUUUAACAGCAAACCAGUUGUUCCUCACUGUUUAUGGAUGUUGUGCACUUGCUGAUUCGGCAGAGUUCAAUCGGUUAGUUCUCCAAAGUGGGCCCCUAGUUCUGUAGCAAGUCAAGUUGUUCUUUAUGAAGGAAAGAUGCGCUCUUUCAACUAUACAGAGAAUAAUUAUUAAGCCAUCCACUGUUGCUCUUAUCCAUUCCCUUGCUUUCUCACUGCUGAUAAACCUCAGCUGUUUAUAAUCUGCAGUAAUAUUUGCACCUCUGCUCACUGGUCUGAAGUCACUGCUUUGUUGAUUAGCUGAAACCAAGAGGUAUGCUUGCUUAAAGACUUUUCCUUUUUUCUAAUUUUUAUCACUUGAUUUCAGAGACCCCUUGAUGUUAAUUUGAUUCCAGAGACCUCUUGAUGUUAAUUUUUAUCACUUGAUUCCCUUGCUUUCUCACUGCUGAUAAACCUCAUCUGUUUUUAAUCUCCAGUAAUAUUUGCACCUCUGCUCACUGGUCUGAAGUCACUGCUCUGUUGAUUAGCUGAAACCAAGAGGUAUGGUUGCUUAAGGACUUUUCCUUUUUUCUAUUUUUAUCACUUGAUUCCAGAGACCCCUUGAUGUUAAUUUGCUAUUCAUCUUGAUUGCUUUCUUUCUUGCUUUGUUACUUUAUGCUUUUGAAAAGCCUCUGCUUUGCUGCUUGUUUAUUAUUUGUGUUGUUUUUGCUUUAUUAAUGUUAGUUGACUUGCAACAAAGAAAUCCUUUUGCUGUUCAUUUCUGAUUUAGUUCCUGAAGAUUUGAAAAGUUUCCUUCUGAUUUAAUAUGUUCAUUGCAGUUCCUUGAUUGCUUGAUUCCAGACAAGAAGAAGAGUCAAGUUUCAUUGGACAUGGAAAUUGUGAUUUCUAUUGUAGCCAAAGUUGCUGAGCCGUUAGUUGUUCCCAUUAAGAGACAGAUUGGUUAUGUAAUUGAUUGUAAUACCAAUAUUCAGAACUUAAAAAAUGAAGUUGAGAAGCUGACAGAUGCAAAAACAAGGGUGAUUCAUUCUAUAGAGGAGGCUAGAAGGAAUGGGGAAGAGAUUGAAGUUGAUGUUGAGAACUGGCUGAGAAGUGUUGAUGGGGUCAUUGAAGGGGGAGGUGGUGUUGUUGGAGAUGAAUCAAGUAAGAAGUGCUUCAUGGGUUUGUGUCCUGAUCUAAAGAUACGCUAUCGGCUGGGUAAAGCAGCGAAGAAGGAGUUGACGGUUAUUGUUGAUCUCCAGGAAAAAGGGAAAUUUGAUGGAGUUUCAUACCGUCCUGCUCCAUCGGGUAUAGGGCCUGUCAAGGAUUAUGAGGCCUUUGAAUCAAGAGAUUCUGUAGUAAAUGCUAUUGUGGAUGCAUUGAAGUAUGGUGCCGUGAACAUGGUUGGGGUAUAUGGGAUGGGUGGUGUGGGGAAGACCACACUUGUGUUGAAGGUUGCUGAACAAGUCAAGGAGGGUAGGCUGUUCGAUAAGGUGGUUCUGGCACUUGUGUCACAGACUCCAGACAUCAGAAGAAUUCAAGGUGAAAUAGCAGACGGGCUAGGACUCAAAUUGGAUGCAGAGACUGAUAAAGGAAGGGCAAGUCAACUAUGCGAGGGAUUGAAGAAAGCGACUAUGCGAGUACUUGUAAUUCUUGAUGAUAUUUGGAAAGAACUUAAAUUGGAGGAUGUUGGAAUUCCUCACGAAGGAUGCAAGAUACUCAUGUCUUCAAGAGAUGAAUAUGUACUGUCUCGCGAGAUGGGGGCAAACAAAAAUUUCAAGCUUGAAGUUUUGCCAGAAAGCGAAGCGAGGGAUUUGUUCGAAAAGAUGGUGGGGGGUACUGUUAAAAAUCCUAGUGUACAGCCUGUUGCUGCUGAAGUAGCCAAAAGAUGCGCAGGUUUGCCGAUUUUACUUGCUACAGUUGCUAGGGCACUGAAAAACAAAGAGUUACAUGCUUGGAAGCACGCCUUGAAACAGCUAAAAGGUUUGGUAAAGAUGAAUUGACAAACGAGUUUACUCGUGUCUAGAACUGAGUUACCAAAAUUUGAGAGGUGAUGAAAUCAAGUCAUUGUUCUUGCUUUGUGGGCAAUUACGAUCUAAUAAUAUUUUAAUCUCAGACUUGUUAAGGUAUGGUAUAGGCUUGGAUUUGUUUAAGGGAUGUUCCACAUUGGAAGAAACAAGAAACAGUCUGCUUACAUUGGUGGAUGAGCUUAAAGCCUGUUGUUUGUUGCUAGAAGGUGACAAUGAUGGAAGCGUGAAAAUGCAUGAUGUUGUUCAUAGUUUUGCCAUCGAUGUUGCAUCAAGGGACCACCAUGUGCUUGCCGUGGCAGAUGAAUCAAAGAAUGGCCAACCAAUGAUGUGCUUCAACAGUAGUGGAAUCUCUUCGCUUACCGGAAAUUUGAUCUUCCUGCAAUAUUAGAAUGUCCAAAUCUCAGGUCGUUUAUACUGCUGAACAAGGAUCCCUCACUGCAAAUACCAGACAACUUUUUCAGAGAAAUGAAGGAACUUAAAAGUUUGAAUCUACAGAAGUUAAUCUUUCACCACUGCCUUCGUCACUUUCAAUUUCUUUGAGAACCUUCAAACGCUGUGUUGGAUCAUUGUGUUUUGGAAGAUAUAUCUAUAGUUGGAGAGCUAAAGAAGUUGCAAGUUCUGAGCUUAGUGAGUUCUAAUAUUGUUUGUUUGCCAAAGAGAAAUAGGAAAAUUGACUCGUCUGCUACUUCUAGAUUUGAGCAAUUGUGAAAGGCUUGAAGUAAUAUCACCAAAUGUCCUUUCUUCCUUGACCCGUCUAGAAGAAUUAUAUAUGGGAAACAGCUUUCUGAAAUGGGAGGCUGAAGGAUCAAGCAGUGAAAGAAACAAUGCUUGCCUGUCAGAAUUGAAGCUUCUGCAAACUUAAUUACCUUAGACAUGCAAAUUACAGAUGCAGAUCAUAUGCCCAAGGACUUGUUUUUGUGCUUUCGAAAGUUGGAAAGGUUCAGAAUAUUUAUUGGAGAUGGGUGGACUGGUCUGUUAAGAUGCAACCCCAAGAACUUUGAAACUCAAGCUCAAUACAGUUACUCAGUUGGAGGAGGGGGUGAACACGCUGCUGAAGAUCACUGAAGAACUUCAUUUGCAAGAACUGAAUGGUGUUAAGAGUAUCCUCAAUGACUUGGACGGGGAAGGUUUCUGUCAGCUGAAGCAUCUUCACGUCCAAAAUUGUCCUGGAGUUCAAUUUAUCAUCAACUCGAUGAGGAUGGGUCCUCGAACUGCUUUUCUGAACUUGGACUCACUGUUUCUUGAAAAUUUGGAUAACUUGGAGAAGAUCUGCCAUGGCCAACUUAUGGCAGAGUCGCUUGGAAACUUGAGAAUUUUGAAGGUAGAAAGGUGUCAUAGGUUGAAGAAUUUAUUUUCAGUCUCCAUGGCAAGAAGACUUGUGCGACUUGAAGAAAUCACAAUAAUUGAUUGCAAGAUCAUGGAAGAGGUUGUUGCUGAGGAAAGUGAGAAUGAUACUGCUGACGGUGAACCGAUAGAGUUCACUCAAUUACGUAGACUGACACUGCAACGUCUGCCUCAGUUCACAAGCUUUCACUCUAAUAGAAGGCAGAAGCUAUUAGCAAGUGAUGUGAGGUCAAAAGAAAUUGUUGCGGGGAAUGAGCUUGGGACUUCCAUGUCACUUUUCAAUACAAAGGUCUGGUUUGCUCUUUUAACAAGCCUAUUAUUUGUCGUUUUAACCUCAAAAAAUAAAACCCAUUCUCACGAGUAGACAAAUUAAGGGCUUUGAUUUAUUUUUUUUAUCUCGCUGAAAAAUAAAAAGAAGUUAAUAAAACAAAAUAUGUGCGUGCAGAUUUUAUUCCCCAAUUUGAAGGACCUGAAGCUCUUCUCCAUCAAAGUGGAAAAGAUAUGGCACGACCAACCUGCUGUGCAGCCUCCCUGUGUUAAAAACUUAGCAAGCAUUGAAAUAUGGUAUUGUAGUAAUUUAAACUAUUUAUUGACAUCUUCUAUGGUCGAAAGUCUUGCACAACUCGAAAGGCUUGAAAUAGGGAUAUGCGAGUCCAUGGAAGAAAUAGUUGUUCCAGAAGGAAUCGGAGAGGGCAAAAUGAUGCUAUUCCCUAAACUACACUCCGUAAUGCUCAAUGGUCUGCCGAAACUCACAAGAUUCUGCACCACUAACUUUUGAAUGCCACUCCCUGAAAGAGCUGUGGUUAGGGAAUUGCCCUGAACUGAAGGAAUUUAUUUCCAUCCCAUCAAGUGCGGAUGUCCCAGCCAUGAGCAAACCUGACAACACAAAAUCAGCUCUCUUCGAUGACAAGGUGAUUUUAUUUCAAAAGCAGGCUUAAUUUG